RNAcentral lists this ribosomal RNA (465 nucleotides) under Vreelandella stevensii. RNAcentral describes it as "partial 16S ribosomal RNA". It matches the Rfam family "Bacterial small subunit ribosomal RNA", at positions 338 to 795 of the family's 1533-position model. Lineage: Bacteria; Pseudomonadati; Pseudomonadota; Gammaproteobacteria; Oceanospirillales; Halomonadaceae. The record is from RNAcentral.
CCUACGGGCGGCAGCAGUGGGGAAUAUUGGACAAUGGGGGCAACCCUGAUCCAGCCAUGCCGCGUGUGUGAAGAAGGCCCUCGGGUUGUAAAGCACUUUCAGUGAGGAAGAACGCCUGGUGGUUAAUACCCAUCAGGAAAGACAUCACUCACAGAAGAAGCACCGGCUAACUCCGUGCCAGCAGCCGCGGUAAUACGGAGGGUGCGAGCGUUAAUCGGAAUUACUGGGCGUAAAGCGCGCGUAGGUGGCUUGAUAAGCCGGUUGUGAAAGCCCCGGGCUCAACCUGGGAACGGCAUCCGGAACUGUCAAGCUAGAGUGCAGGAGAGGAAGGUAGAAUUCCCGGUGUAGCGGUGAAAUGCGUAGAGAUCGGGAGGAACACCAGUGGCGAAGGCGGCCUUCUGGACUGACACUGACACUGAGGUGCGAAAGCGUGGGUAGCAAACAGGAUUAGAUACCCUGGUAGUC